Molecule: ribosomal RNA, 680 nt
Filed under: Actinomyces naeslundii
Lineage: Bacteria; Bacillati; Actinomycetota; Actinomycetes; Actinomycetales; Actinomycetaceae
Description: bacterial SSU rRNA
Rfam family: Bacterial small subunit ribosomal RNA
Source: RNAcentral
UCCUGACUCAGGACGAACGCUGGCGGCGUGCUUAACACAUGCAAGUCGAACGGUGAAGGGGCCUGCUUUUGUGGGUCCUGGAUGAGUGGCGAACGGGUGAGUAACACGUGAGUAACCUGCCCCCUUCUUCUGGAUAACCGCAUGAAAGUGUGGCUAAUACGGGAUAUUCUGGGUCUGUCGCAUGGUGGGCCUGGGAAAGAUUGCGCCUUUUUUGGUGUUUUUGGUGGGGGAUGGGCUCGCGGCCUAUCAGCUUGUUGGUGGGGUGAUGGCCUACCAAGGCGGUGACGGGUAGCCGGCCUGAGAGGGUGGACGGUCACACUGGGACUGAGACACGGCCCAGACUCCUACGGGAGGCAGCAGUGGGGAAUAUUGCACAAUGGGCGCAAGCCUGAUGCAGCGACGCCGCGUGAGGGAUGGAGGCCUUCGGGUUGUGAACCUCUUUCGCCAGUGAAGCAGGCCUGCCUCGUUUGUGGGUGGGUUGACGGUAGCUGGAUAAGAAGCGCCGGCUAACUACGUGCCAGCAGCCGCGGUAAUACGUAGGGCGCGAGCGUUGUCCGGAAUUAUUGGGCGUAAAGAGCUCGUAGGCGGCUGGUCGCGUCUGUCGUGAAAUCCUCUGGCUUAACUGGGGGCUUGCGGUGGGUACGGGCCGGCUUGAGUGCGGUAGGGGAGACUGGAACUCC